Zingiber officinale is the source of this 103-nucleotide small nucleolar RNA. RefSeq annotates it as small nucleolar RNA snoR97. The record is from RefSeq and is a predicted model, not a curated record. The transcript has a single exon. Lineage: Eukaryota; Viridiplantae; Streptophyta; Magnoliopsida; Zingiberales; Zingiberaceae.
CUUCUGGCAAUAGCUCUGAAGGCUGAAGAACUCACAAAUUUUGUGUUGCCAUCAGCUUCAACUCGUGAUCAUGAGUUGUGAGUUAAAUUACAACACUACAUUU